GAUGAACACUGGCGGCGUGCUUAACACAUGCAAGUCGAACGGAAAGGCUCCUGCUUGCAGGGGUACUCGAGUGGCGAACGGGUGAGUAACACGUGGGUGAUCUGCCCUGCACUUCGGGAUAAGCCUGGGAAACUGGGUCUAAUACCGGAUAGGACGAUGGUUUGGAUGCCAUUGUGGAAAGUUUUUUCGGUGUGGGAUGAGCUCGCGGCCUAUCAGCUUGUUGGUGGGGUAAUGGCCUACCAAGGCGUCGACGGGUAGCCGGCCUGAGAGGGUGUACGGCCACAUUGGGACUGAGAUACGGCCCAGACUCCUACGGGAGGCAGCAGUGGGGAAUAUUGCACAAUGGGCGCAAGCCUGAUGCAGCGACGCCGCGUGGGGGAUGACGGCCUUCGGGUUGUAAACUCCUUUCGCUAGGGACGAAGCGCAAGUGACGGUACCUGGAGAAGAAGCACCGGCUAACUACGUG
Molecule: ribosomal RNA, 466 nt
Filed under: uncultured bacterium
Lineage: Bacteria
Description: partial 16S ribosomal RNA
Rfam family: Bacterial small subunit ribosomal RNA
Source: RNAcentral